ACAAGGCAUUGGUCCUUUCCCAUUGGGAAGUCAUGAAUAAGAGACUAUGAAGCUCGCACGUCAGAUCUUCCUCAAUUAAUCCACCAUUAGCAUGUUUGGGAUCCACUACUGGAUGGUUAACAGCAGCUUUUGUAACUGUACGCCGACCAUACCCAAUUAUGCUCUGCUAAAAAUGAACUCUUUGCAGACCAAUCCUCUCGGGCUGUCAGUGUUUUCCGUUUUCCUAUUUUAACGUUUGUGUAUAGUGGCAGGCGACAGAUGGUGUAGAUCAGAUCGAUUUGAUUGCAUUAGAUGAUUUUUUUUCCCUUCCCCACUCCUUUCUGGAAGCUCGCAUCAGCUGAAGGCUAUCGCCUGGGACUCCUCGGAAGCGUGAGCAAGCCGCCACCACGCGAAGGCACCGGGGCACAGCCAGAGCAGAGCGCUGAGGUCCCUUCCCAGGGCUUGUUAACACUGUAACCCGCGCUCGGAGGGAAGCAGCUCCGCAGCCCGGAGCACCUCACCGCGCAUCAGAUGACUCCCCGGCUUCUGCACACAGUUGGAGUUCCGCUUGAAACCUGGAUUUAGAGGGGUUCUCUCGCUGCCAUGACACUCAAUCAAAGCACCUAGAGUGCGCUAGCCAAGACCAGAGUGGGCACUGAGCAGAACAAGUACAGAGCCACACACUGGAGACCACCAGAAUUGGAACUAGAGCAGCCAUUUGGAUUUGGGCAGGAAGCAGCCGAGCACAGCUUUGGAUUCUCCUUUAGGGAAAUCGAGUUAUGGAUUUAUGGUCCCGGUCAAGCUCAGCCCAGCCCCAGCCAGGGGCGGGCUCAGCAGCAAGAGUUCUGGUGGCGGCGCAGCAGUAGCGGCGGCAGCGGUAGCAGCGGCAGCGGCAGCUUGGUCCUCUGACUCUCUUCGGUGACGGGUAUUCUUGGGUGGAUAAUACGGAUUACGUUGUUAUUGCUUAAGAAUACGCGUAGUCGAGGAGAGUACCAGCGGCAGGCGGGCAGCGGCCGCCCCUCCCAGCCCACCAGCUGGCCACUAAACGCCUGUGGUUGCCAAGAAGUACAUGUGAAGAAUUUUGGGUGUCUACUCAUUUCAGUUCAGACUUUAGAAGAAGUUACGAAAAUUCUGAUGACCUUCAAAACUCUUCAUUUGCUCUAUAGUUUAAAUAUGUUUUGUUCUAUCAUCACAGCUGUCCAUCCAACAUCAUCUCUCAGAAUUUGAGGCUGCUUACCGGCCCCUUCAGGUACAUGCUAGGGAAGCUGGAGUUUCUAUGUGUUCAACAGAGCCAGCAGAUCGAACUCAUGACCGCCUGCUUGCAAGCUGAGUACAUUGUCACUGAUCUAAAGAGGACCACUCCUCAGCAUCCUAUAUCCGUGAGUGUUGCCAUGGCACUACAUUGCACGAAAAUAGGUGCCUGAAAGUGCUUGGAUGACAAAAUGAUGGCAACUGUUACUUUGAAGGAAAAAGCAUGCAUCUUCUUCUUGAUCCUGCAAUGCUGCUGACUCAAAGAAGAGAGAAACUGGGGCAACUACCUUGGACCCCAAGGUGGAUCAGGAAGCGGAAGGGUAGCAUAAGCAAAUAGAAGAAGCCGAGGUCCCUGACACCAAGUAGCUGAUCUGUCCAGUCUAGUGAUUUUUGAAAGAGCUGAGAGACCAAUGAACUUUUCCUAUUUUUUUAAGGCCCAUUAUUUUGAGACCUUGCAUCAGCAGCAGCAAUUAUGUCAUAGCUAAUACAGACAAUAGCUCCUAUUUUAUUGUUAUCAAAGAAUACAGAAUAUAUAUUCUAUUUGUAUUUCUUCUAAUAAAAUAUUUGAAAUGUCUUGUCUAGUAAAUGUUCAAAUUCUAUAAUUAUUUCCUGUAUUAUUGAUUUUCAGAUAUACAAUUAUAUAAAUUCUGAAUAUAUUUGUAUGUUAUUAAAUCUACCUAAAUCAGAUUGUGAUUUUCCAUAUUAUGUUCUGUGAAACAUUAAUGAUACAGAAUAUUAUUAGGUUCAUUUCAAAAUAAAAAAGUUAAUGGGCCCUAUA
Long non-coding RNA from Cavia porcellus (domestic guinea pig), 2008 nucleotides. RefSeq lists it as uncharacterized. The transcript has 7 exons. NCBI's taxonomy places the organism in Eukaryota, Metazoa, Chordata, Mammalia, Rodentia, Caviidae. The record is from RefSeq and is a predicted model, not a curated record.